AAUAAGUGCACAUGGUGGAUGCCUUGGCGAUUACAGGCGAUGAAGGACGUAGUAGCUUGCGAUAAGCUGCGGGGAGCUAGCAAACGAGCUUUGAUCCGCAGAUUUCCGAAUGGGGAAACCCGGCCUUUUAGGUCAUUGCAUGCUGAAUACAUAGGCAUGCAAAGCGAACGCGGCGAACUGAAACAUCUAAGUAGCUGCAGGAAAAGAAAUCAACCGAGAUUCCCAAAGUAGUGGCGAGCGAAAUGGGAUGAGCCUGUACGUGAUAGUCGGACUGAUAGCAGAAGCCUCUGGAAAGUGGCGCCAUAGUGGGUGAUAGCCCCGUAUGCGAAAUCAGACCGGUGGUACUAAGCGUACGACAAGUAGGGCGGGACACGAGAAAUCCUGUCUGAACAUGGGGGGACCAUCCUCCAAGGCUAAAUACUCGUAAUCGACCGAUAGUGAACCAGUACCGUGAGGGAAAGGCGAAAAGAACCCCGGGAGGGGAGUGAAAUAGAUCCUGAAACCGUGUGCAUACAAACAGUCGGAGCCUCUUCGUGGGGUGACGGCGUACCUUUUGUAUAAUGGGUCAGCGACUUACAUUCAGUGGCGAGGUUAACCGGAUAGGGGAGCCGUAGAGAAAUCGAGUCCGAACAGGGCGACAGUCGCUGGGUGUAGACCCGAAACCAAGUGAUCUACCCAUGGCCAGGAUGAAGGUGCGGUAACACGCCCUGGAGGUCCGAACCCACUAAUGUUGAAAAAUUAGGGGAUGAGCUGUGGGUAGGGGUGAAAGGCUAAACAAACUUGGAAAUAGCUGGUUCUCUCCGAAAACUAUUUAGGUAGUGCCUCAAGUAUCACCACCGGGGGUAGAGCACUGUUAUGGCUAGGGGGUCAUUGCGACUUACCAAACCAUUGCAAACUCCGAAUACCGGUGAGUGCGAGCUUGGGAGACAGACAUCGGGUGCUAACGUCCGGUGUCAAGAGGGAAACAACCCAGACCGCCAGCUAAGGUCCCAAAGAUUGGCUAAGUGGAAAACGAAGUGGGAAGGCUAAAACAGUCAGGAUGUUGGCUUAGAAGCAGCCACCAUUUAAAGAAAGCGUAAUAGCUCACUGAUCGAGUCGUCCUGCGCGGAAGAUGUAACGGGGCUAAGCCAGUCACCGAAGCUGCGGAUAUGUCUUUGACAUAUGGUAGGAGAGCGUUCUGUAAGCCUGCGAAGGUGUCUUGUAAAGGAUGCUGGAGGUAUCAGAAGUGCGAAUGCUGACAUGAGUAGCGAUAAUGCGGGUGAAAAGCCCGCACGCCGUAAGCCCAAGGUUUCCUGUUCAACGUUCAUCGGAGCAGGGUGAGUCGGCCCCUAAGGCGAGGCAGAGAUGCGUAGCUGAUGGGAAGCAGGUUAAUAUUCCUGCACCGUCGUAUGAUGCGAUGGGGGGACGGAUCGCGGAAGGUUGUCUAGCUGUUGGAAUAGCUAGUUUUUGACUCAUAGAAGGCGCUUAGGCAAAUCCGGGCGCGUAAUUCAAGGGGUUGAGACGAGCGCUCAUGUAGCGCGAAGCAAUCGGAAGUGGUUCCAAGAAAAGCCUCUAAGCUUCAGUCAUACGAGACCGUACCGCAAACCGACACAGGUGGGCGAGAUGAGUAUUCUAAGGCGCUUGAGAGAACUCGGGAGAAGGAACUCGGCAAAUUGGUACCGUAACUUCGGGAUAAGGUACGCCCUAGUAGCUUGAUUGGUUUACUCCAUGAGGGCCAAAGGGUUGCAAUAAAAUGGUGGCUGCGACUGUUUAAUAAAAACACAGCACUCUGCAAACACGAAAGUGGACGUAUAGGGUGUGACGCCUGCCCGGUGCUGGAAGAUUAAAUGAUGGGGUGCAAGCUCUUGAUUGAAGUCCCAGUAAACGGCGGCCGUAACUAUAACGGUCCUAAGGUAGCGAAAUUCCUUGUCGGGUAAGUUCCGACCUGCACGAAUGGCGUAACGACUCCCCUGCUGUCUCAACCACAGGCCCGGUGAAAUUGCACUACGAGUAAAGAUGCUCGUUACGCGCGGCAGGACGAAAAGACCCCGGGACCUUCACUAUAGCUUGGUAUUGGUGUUUGGUUCGGUUUGUGUAGGAUAGGUGGG
This 2087-nucleotide ribosomal RNA is filed under the name Bos taurus (domestic cattle). Its description in RNAcentral is "bacterial LSU rRNA". It matches the Rfam family "Bacterial large subunit ribosomal RNA", at positions 10 to 2151 of the family's 2925-position model. The record is from RNAcentral. Lineage: Eukaryota; Metazoa; Chordata; Mammalia; Artiodactyla; Bovidae.